Molecule: transfer RNA, 72 nt
Filed under: Candidatus Shapirobacteria bacterium CG_4_9_14_3_um_filter_39_13
Lineage: Bacteria; Candidatus Shapironibacteriota
Also listed under: 2 other names
Description: tRNA-Ala
Rfam family: tRNA
About the family: Transfer RNA (tRNA) molecules are approximately 80 nucleotides in length. Their secondary structure includes four short double-helical elements and three loops (D, anti-codon, and T loops).
Source: RNAcentral
GGGGCUAUAGCUUAGUUGGUAGAGCACGGCAUUCGCAUUGCCAAGACGCCGGUUCGAUUCCGGCUAGCUCCA